This is a long non-coding RNA of Eurytemora carolleeae, 300 nucleotides long. RefSeq lists it as uncharacterized. The transcript is spliced from 5 exons. NCBI's taxonomy places the organism in Eukaryota, Metazoa, Arthropoda, Copepoda, Calanoida, Temoridae. The record is from RefSeq and is a predicted model, not a curated record.
AGGAAAAGUAUGCAACACAGCUGCUCUGGCAGAUUCCAAAUGGAAACGGUUGCAGGCCAAAACUUCAGGUGUUCAUGCAUUCAACAGAUCCGAAGAACCAGGAAAGGUUAGAAGAGCUAAGAUUGCGUACACAGCUCUUGUACUAUUCUUACUCUUAGCUUGGUCCGCUGUACUCAUAGGAUCUGUGUUUGCUCUCAGAGAAAAUAUCCAUGAUUGCGAGCGCUGUUCAAACCCUCAGCUUUGCAGAAGUACCACACCUGCUUGGGGAGGUGCAGCUGUGGAGGAAUGCUCUGCUUUAGG